Molecule: long non-coding RNA, 2466 nt
Organism: Papaver somniferum (opium poppy)
Lineage: Eukaryota; Viridiplantae; Streptophyta; Magnoliopsida; Ranunculales; Papaveraceae
Exons: 7
Source: RefSeq, a predicted model, not a curated record
UGGAAUCUUACAAAUAUUCAGAUACCAUCUUUCUUUCUUUACGGCGAUUUAGCAGAUAUGCCAUCAAAUUAAUGUUUUUUUCUUUCUUUCUCAGGAGCUGCAGAGAGAGGUUUACUUACACAUACUCAAUUCUUCUCAUACAUCACUACCUUCACCACCAUCAGUAUCUAUAUAUUCAUCCACUUCUCCUUCUCGGGAAGCAACAACGGUUCAGUGAACCACAACAUUAUCUUCUCAUAGUUGAGCAUGUGCUUACAACAUCUUCAUCUUAUUUUUGUUGAUUUCAGUUGAACAUGAGGGAUUUUCUAGUUAUAUACACCAAUUUCUGGAUUCCAACUAGCCCUUAUAGGAUUCGUGGUGGGCAUUAAAAAAUGUUUACCUGAUGAGGAUCUUUGCUUCCAUCAUUCAAGAAAAAACAAAGUUUCAACAUGUAUCAACACUGCCAUUCUUCUUGCUACUUCUAUGCAUACUCUUGAGUCUUGAGCUUCUUUAUAGAAGAGUCAGCAUCAUACCUUCCAAGCUUCCUAUCUGGCGCAUGCAUAAGUUGGAUUUACGUAAGGCAUCUUCGGAGGAAUCAAGAAACAAGCCUUAGAGGAGCACCAAGCAAUGAUGAUUUCCCCUUUCCUCAUUCUUUCUUGGUGUUAUGCGGUAUAAUUUUCCAUUUUAUGAUGUUUUUUCAUUUGAAAUCAUUAUUUCAUUUUUGUGUUGGUGUACUUAUAUAAAAAUCCUUAUUGAGGAAGCUUUUGUUGGGAAUUUUCAAGUCUUACGGAAUUUUAUUGAUGAUCCUGCUAUUGCUGCACAAACUAAGUACUACUCAAAUGUUUUCCCUCCUAGCAACACUCCUGGGAUAUUUCUACUACUUUUCAAGUAAGAGUCAAUAUUUAGUAUCCUUGAAAUUAUAGAUAUGAGUCAACACAUAUAGGCAGGAUUGAGGUUAGUCUAACCUGUGGUUCUAUAUAGUAAAAAUGAUGGUACAAUUUAUUGAAUAGAUUAAUUAGUUGGUGCGUUUAUAAUAUAGUCUUACAUUUUGAUUCCUCCCCAUGUUUUUUGCACUUGGUGAAGUUGGAUGUCUUACAGACUGGGUACAUAGUGUACACGUGUUUGAUUACAAACAAAACCAUGGCUAAUGUUUUAGAAUUUUAGCAUUAAAAGAUGUUUUUUAUUUUUUUAAGGUUUGGAUUCAGUUGUGUAGUUCAUUUACCGUGUCUUAUCAUUAAACUGAAGUUUCAGGGGUCAAUAAACUCAUUACCUCCAAUUUUCUGUCUCGAAAUUGUUUUGGUUUAUUUAUUAUAGGCUAUGAAGUAUGGGUUUCAUCUUGAGUUGAUUUCUGGCUAGGUUUUAGGCCAUAUUUUGAGUUAUGAAUUGCAUGGGUGUAGUAAGAGACUGUAAAUUUUUGAAUUCAUUUUUUUAGUUUAUAUGUAGGUCAUGAAGUAUGUGUUUUCUCUUGGAUUGAUUUCUGGCUAGAUUUUAGGUCAUAUUUUGAGUUCUGAAUUGCCGGGAUAUGGAAAGAGUCUGUAAAUUUUAUGUGGGAGGAGCCUGUGAGUUUGUUAGUUGUGAAUUGCAGGGACACACAGGACUGGGUACUCUCUGUAACGGGACGGAGAAUUCUUAUAUUAUUGUACUAGCACGAUGUUGAGGACUCUAGACUUAUCUUUCAUCAGUUACCAGUAUCAUCCCUGCGUUUAAAGAAGAGAUCAGCUGCUGCAGAGGAUAGAAAAACAACAAGCAACUCAGAACCAUCCAUUGCCAAUGGGACCUCAAUAUAAAGGGUGCAGUUUGGAAGAAUUGCAUCUUGGAUUCAUGGGUAAACUCUUAGUGGACAAGAGUGACAAAAUUAAAAUAAAGAUCAGAGACAUCCUUUAUAUGUGCACUACUGUCAUUGUAAACUUGGGAUUAUACUAUUCGGGUAAUAUGUGUGCAUGAAGCAGAUGAUCAGGUCAAAUAGAAGAGCACAUGGUUCCCAUGUAGUUGUGGGUUCGACUUCCGCAGAUGGCAAGUCUGACUUCGUUCAAGUCUAAGUUUUUCCAUCGGUUCUGGCUAAUGAAGACGAGGUCGAUGCUUUGUUUCAAAUCCUGAUCCAUUGAUGUCCUAGGUAUAUUUUGAGAUAUAUAAAUAUUCGAUGGCAGUAACAUGUUUUAGUCAUCACCUAGGUAUAAUUUUGAUGGUUACUGCGAUUCCCACCCAGUUGGUCAGAAAUUAUAGAGAAACUUCUACGCUAUCUAUAUUGUUUCGAGGGUUUUGAUUUAACAUUUGUGCUCUCGGGUUGAAAGGAGAUCAUUCGAUGAAAUAAAUCUAGGAAUGAAAUGUAUUUGGUAAAGUUUUUACAUAGAUUGAAUUCUAAAAAGGUUAAUUACUUCAAGUACAUUUAUCUAAUAUUUGAGUAAAUCUGAAAAACUACAAACAACCAAACAAGUUGACAUAUUUGUUGGUGUUAAAUUUCUCGAUGAGCAUGUCAACUCAGUUCUC